Molecule: small RNA, 983 nt
Filed under: Pongo abelii (Sumatran orangutan)
Lineage: Eukaryota; Metazoa; Chordata; Mammalia; Primates; Hominidae
Description: processed transcript
Source: RNAcentral
CACAGAGGUUGAACUUAUUUCCAGGGAAGAAGGGCGGGGAUGUCAGGGCUGGAGAGUGCCUGUGUCCUUCUGUGUGCAUUGGGCUCCUUCCUCCUUAAUUCUCUCAUUUCCACUUUUUAGGCUGAACUCCAGUGCACCCAGUUAGACUUGGAGCGGAAACUCAAGUUGAAUGAAAAUGCCAUCUCCAGGCUCCAGGCCAACCAAAAGUCUGUUCUGGCUCCUUGAAUAUGUUGAGGCCUCUCCUCUCUACUAUUUCUGCUUGUCAUCAUUUUCGCGAUGUCGGUGUCAGAGGUCAAAGCAGUGGCUGAAAUGCAGUUUGGGGAACUCCUUGCUGCUGUGAGGAAGGCCCAGGCCAAUGUGAUGCUGUUCUUAGAGGAGAAGGAGCAAGCUGCGCUGAGCCAGGCCAACGGUAUCAAGGCCCACCUGGAGUACAGGAGUGCCGAGAUGGAGAAAAGCAAGCAGGAGCUGGAGAGGAUGGCGGCCAUCAGCAACACUGUCCAGUUCCUGGAGGAGUACUGCAAGUUUAAGAACACUGAAGACAUCACCUUCCCUAGUGUUUACAUAGGGCUGAAGGAUAAACUCUUGGGCAUCCGCAAAGUUAUCACGGAAUCCACUGUACACUUAAUCCAGUUGCUGGAGAACUAUAAGGAAAAGCUCCAGGAGUUUUCCAAGGAAGAGGAGUAUGACAUCAGAACUCAAGUGUCUGCCGUUGUUCAGCGCAAAUAUUGGACUUCCAGACCUGAGCCCAGCACCAGGGAACAGUUCCUCCAAUAUGCGCAUGACAUCACAUUCGACCCGGACACAGCACACAAGUAUCUCCGGCUGCAGGAGGAGAACCGCAAGGUCACCAACACCACGCCCUGGGAGCAUCCCUACCCGGACCUCCCCAGCAGGUUCCUGCACUGGCGGCAGGUGCUGUCCCAGCAGAGUCUGUACCUGCACAGGUACUAUUUUGAGGUGGAGAUCUUCGGGGCAGGCACCUA